UACGGGGGGAGCAAGCGUUGUUCGGAUUUACUGGGCGUAAAGGGCGCGUAGGCGGCCACCGCAAGUCGACUGUGAAAUCUCCGGGCUUAACCCGGAACGGUCAGCCGAUACUGCGGGGCUAGAGUGCAGAAGGGGCAACUGGAAUUCUCGGUGUAGCGGUGAAAUGCGUAGAUAUCGAGAGGAACACCUGCGGCGAAGGCGGGUUGCUGGGCUGACACUGACGCUGAUGCGCGAAAGCGUGGGGAGCGAACAGG
This 254-nucleotide ribosomal RNA is filed under the name uncultured bacterium. RNAcentral describes it as "partial 16S ribosomal RNA". It matches the Rfam family "Bacterial small subunit ribosomal RNA", at positions 524 to 776 of the family's 1533-position model. The record is from RNAcentral.